GCGGGAGUAGCUCAGUGGUAGAGCGUCACGUUGCCAACGUGAAUGUCGCGGGUUCAAAUCCCGUCUCCCGCU
Molecule: transfer RNA, 72 nt
Filed under: bacterium
Lineage: Bacteria
Description: tRNA-Gly
Rfam family: tRNA
About the family: Transfer RNA (tRNA) molecules are approximately 80 nucleotides in length.
Source: RNAcentral